UGGGGAAUCUUGCACAAUGGACGAAAGUCUGAUGCAGCAACGCCGCGUGGGUGAAGAAGGUCUUUGGAUUGUAAAGCCCUUUCGGUUGGGAAGAAGGGUGUGUGGGAUAAUACCCCAUGCACUUGACGGUACCAGAAGAAGAAGCACCGGCUAAUUCCGUGCCAGCAGCCGCGGUAAUACGGAAGGUGCGAGCGUUGUUCGGAAUAAUUGGGCGUAAAGAGCACGUAGGUGGGAUGGUGUGUCAGAUGUGAAAUCCCCGGGCUUAACCUGGGAAUUGCAUUUGAAACUGCCGUUCUUGAAUACUUGAGGGGUUGGAGAAAUUCCAGGUGUAGGAGUGAAAUCCGUAGAGAUCUGGAGGAAUACCGGAGGCGAAGGCGUCCAACUGGCAAUGUAUUGACACUGAGGUGCGAAAGUGCGGGGAGCAAACAGG
RNAcentral lists this ribosomal RNA (430 nucleotides) under uncultured bacterium. RNAcentral describes it as "bacterial SSU rRNA". It matches the Rfam family "Bacterial small subunit ribosomal RNA", at positions 355 to 776 of the family's 1533-position model. The record is from RNAcentral.